GACAUUUCCCCCAGUUGCUCAAUUUGAAACUGUGAGAAUGCUCCUAGCAUUGGCAGUACAACUUAGAUGAAAGGUGUACCAAUUUGAUGUAAAAUCAGCAUUUCUCAAUGGUGAACUUGAAGAAGAAGUCUAUGUCCACAACCUGAAGGUUUGUGAUUAAUGGGCAAGAAGGAAAAGUGUAUAAGUUAAGGAAAGCUCUCUAUA
This 204-nucleotide unclassified non-coding RNA is filed under the name Hevea brasiliensis (rubber tree). The record is from RNAcentral. Lineage: Eukaryota; Viridiplantae; Streptophyta; Magnoliopsida; Malpighiales; Euphorbiaceae.